Molecule: microRNA precursor, 110 nt
Filed under: Pelobates cultripes (western spadefoot toad)
Lineage: Eukaryota; Metazoa; Chordata; Amphibia; Anura; Pelobatidae
Source: RNAcentral
UAGAUAGGUGAGAGCAAACACACAGGGAAAACACAAUACUGUGUUGCCAUUUACCAACGUUGAAAGUGGUAGUAUUGUGUUUUCCCUGUGUGUUUGCUCUCACCUAUCUA